Long non-coding RNA from Bubalus bubalis (water buffalo), 865 nucleotides. RefSeq lists it as uncharacterized. The transcript is spliced from 3 exons. The record is from RefSeq and is a predicted model, not a curated record. NCBI's taxonomy places the organism in Eukaryota, Metazoa, Chordata, Mammalia, Artiodactyla, Bovidae.
CAUUUACUAAGGAAACCAACAGCAGGUUCCACUCCCUCAAACACCUCAGGUUCAUGACCAUCAUGAGGAUUGGUAUUUCCCUUUCAGGAACUAGCAGGUGGAGCUACUUCUCCCUAAGCAUUGGAACAACCACUAGGUGGGGCAGGGGCAAGCAGGUUCCUGUAAGUGGGGUGUAAGUGCAGCAGAAAUGCUCUAGCAGGGGACAGAGAAAGGGCAGGAGAACAGCCAUCAUGAGGGCAUGACCAUGCACCCCGACCCCCUACAUAACCUUGCACAACCCUUACAAUGAUGCCCCAUCCUAGACAUCCUUAGGCUCAGUCAGUACGUUGCUGGGUCAGCCCAGCAACCAAAUACCACAAAUGUAAUACAAGGGAAAGCAGCUGAGAAGUGUCAUUGUAAGCGAGGCUCUGCGCACCCAGGACAGGAAGAAGGCCUGUGUUUUUUGUCCUGGCUGCAGAACCACACGGUCUGUCCAUCCCCAGUCCCCACAGCAGAUGCCAUGUGAUAAGCCUUCCAAUGAGCCCUGUAGCAGCAUGGUUGUAAGGAAAAGUAGAAAUACCAGUGCUUACCAGCCUCAUCAGCCAUUCCUGAAAUCCAUGGUCAGUAAAGUGGGAUUCCUCGUUGCUCCAUGAAAAUUCUCACACACUCCUUUCCCCACACCGAAACUCGCCAUUCCUGAUAGCCACCAUGGGCCUCCUGCUGCUGAACCAAGAAGUGUGAUGAUUUCUGGACAUUAUCAGUCACCAGAGACAAACCCUCCCCUUUAUUAGAAAUGCAACUCGCCCCCCUCUACUCAGGGAGCUGGCUUUUUCUUGCCCCUUCUCCUUUGUGCACAUGCUCUUUGAAUAAAAAACUGCUUCCCCAA